This 460-nucleotide ribosomal RNA is filed under the name uncultured bacterium. RNAcentral describes it as "partial 16S ribosomal RNA". It matches the Rfam family "Bacterial small subunit ribosomal RNA", at positions 338 to 795 of the family's 1533-position model. The record is from RNAcentral.
CCUACGGGAGGCAGCAGUGAGGAAUAUUGGUCAAUGGACGAGAGUCUGAACCAGCCAAGUAGCGUGAAGGAUGACUGCCCUAUGGGUUGUAAACUUCUUUUAUAAAGGAAUAAAACGAGGCACGUGUGCCUUUUUGCAUGUACUUUAUGAAUAAGGAUCGGCUAACUCAGUGCCAGCAGCCGCGGUAAUACGGAGGAUCCGAGCGUUAUCCGGAUUUAUUGGGUUUAAAGGGAGCGUAGAUGGGUUGUUAAGUCAGUUGUGAAAGUUUGCGGCUCAACCGUAAAAUUGCAAUUGACACUGGCAGUCGUGAGUACAGUUGAGGUAGGCGGAAUUCGUGGUGUAGCGGUGAAAUGCUUAGAUAUCACGAAGAACCCCGAUUGCGAAGGCAGCUUACUAAACUGUGACUGACAUUGAUGCUCGAAAGUGUGGGUAUCAAACAGGAUUAGAUACCCGAGUAGUC